GGCAGUGUAGUAUAAUGGGUAAGAGUUAGUCUUGUAACCUAAAGGUCACAGGUUCGAGUCCUCACUAGGACA
This 72-nucleotide transfer RNA is filed under the name Anguilla anguilla (European eel). RNAcentral describes it as "tRNA-OTHER". The record is from RNAcentral. Lineage: Eukaryota; Metazoa; Chordata; Actinopteri; Anguilliformes; Anguillidae.